RNAcentral lists this ribosomal RNA (497 nucleotides) under uncultured bacterium. RNAcentral describes it as "partial 16S ribosomal RNA". It matches the Rfam family "Bacterial small subunit ribosomal RNA", at positions 28 to 507 of the family's 1533-position model. The record is from RNAcentral.
GAUGAACGCUGGCGGCGUGCCUAAUACAUGCAAGUCGAGCGAACAGACGAGGAGCUUGCUCCUCUGACGUUAGCGGCGGACGGGUGAGUAACACGUGGAUAACCAACCUAUAAGACUGGGAUAACUACGGGAAACCGGAGCUGAUACUGGAUAAUAUAUUGAACCGCAUGGUUCAAUAGUGAAAGACGGUUUUGCUGUCACUUAUAGAUGGAUCCGCGCCGCAUUAGCUAGUUGGUAGGGUAAUGGCUUACCAAGGCGGCGAUGCGUAGCCGACCUGAGAGGGUGGUCGGCCACACUGGAACUGAGACGCGGUCGAGACGCCUACGGGAGGCGGCAGUAGGGAAUCUUCCGCAAUGGGCGGAAGCCUGACGAAGCAGCGCCGCGUGGGUGGUGAAGGUCUUCGGAUCGUAAAACUCUGUUAUUAGGAGAGAACAAAUGUGGAAGUAACUGUGCACGUCUUGACGGUACCUAGACAGAAAGCGACGGCUAACUACGUG